AGUGAACGCUGGCGGUAGGCCUAACACAUGCAAGUCGAACGGCAGCACAGUAAGAGCUUGCUCUUACGGGUGGCGAGUGGCGGACGGGUGAGGAAUACAUCGGAAUCUACUUUUUCGUGGGGGAUAACGUAGGGAAACUUACGCUAAUACCGCAUACGACCUACGGGUGAAAGCAGGGGGUCUUCGGACCUUGCGCGAUUGAAUGAGCCGAUGUCGGAUUAGCUAGUUGGCGGGGUAAAGGCCCACCUAGGCGACGAUCCGUAGCUGGUCUGAGAGGAUGAUCAGCCACACUGGAACUGAGACACGGUCCAGACUCCUACGGGAGGCAGCAGUGGGGAAUAUUGGACAAUGGGCGCAAGCCUGAUCCAGCCAUACCGCGUGGGUGAAGAAGGCCUUCGGGUUGUAAAGCCCUUUUGUUGGGAAAGAAAAGCAGCAGGUUAAUACCCCGCUGUUCUGACGGUACCCAAAGAAUAAGCACCGGCUAACUUCGUG
This 492-nucleotide ribosomal RNA is filed under the name uncultured bacterium. RNAcentral describes it as "partial 16S ribosomal RNA". It matches the Rfam family "Bacterial small subunit ribosomal RNA", at positions 29 to 507 of the family's 1533-position model. The record is from RNAcentral.